Hypholoma sublateritium FD-334 SS-4 is the source of this 94-nucleotide non-coding RNA. Lineage: Eukaryota; Fungi; Basidiomycota; Agaricomycetes; Agaricales; Strophariaceae. The record is from the annotation of a GenBank genome assembly.
GGCCUAAUGGUCUAGUAGUAUGAUACGCGCUUCGGGAGUGAUCCCGCUUACGUAAGCUUGUGCGUGGUCCCGGGUUCAAUUCCCGGUUGGGCCC